AACGAACGCUGGCGGCAUGCCUAACACAUGCAAGUCGAACGAGACCUUCGGGUCUAGUGGCGCACGGGUGCGUAACGCGUGGGAACCUGCCCUUAGGUUCGGAAUAACUCCCCGAAAGGGGUGCUAAUACCGGAUAAUGUCUUCGGACCAAAGAUUUAUCGCCUUUGGAUGGGCCCGCGUUGGAUUAGCUAGUUGGUAGGGUAAAAGCCUACCAAGGCGACGAUCCAUAGCUGGUCCGAGAGGAUGAUCAGCCACACUGGGACUGAGACACGGCCCAGACUCCUACGGGAGGCAGCAGUGGGGAAUAUUGGACAAUGGGCGAAAGCCUGAUCCAGCAAUGCCGCGUGAGUGAUGAAGGCCUUAGGGUUGUAAAGCUCUUUUACCCGGGAUGAUAAUGACAGUACCGGGAGAAUAAGCGCCGGCUAACUCCGUG
RNAcentral lists this ribosomal RNA (433 nucleotides) under uncultured bacterium. Its description in RNAcentral is "partial 16S ribosomal RNA". It matches the Rfam family "Bacterial small subunit ribosomal RNA", at positions 29 to 507 of the family's 1533-position model. The record is from RNAcentral.